Long non-coding RNA from Xyrauchen texanus (razorback sucker), 285 nucleotides. RefSeq lists it as uncharacterized. Lineage: Eukaryota; Metazoa; Chordata; Actinopteri; Cypriniformes; Catostomidae. The record is from RefSeq and is a predicted model, not a curated record. The transcript has 3 exons.
GACAGGAAGGAAACAUUAACAGCAACAGAACAGCACAUAAUAAGUCAGCUCGAACAUUUAAAAGAAGAGGUGGCUGUGAUCAAACAGCUUUUAUUGUCUUUGACAAAUCGCAGCUCUCCAGCUGCAGUCCUAUCAGAGGGCAUCCGUUUGCAACUGAGCAACAUGAAGGACCUCGGAAGAGUCGAAAAUAGGCUUAAGGAGGAGGCCUGCUACAGUGAAAUGGCAAAGUAUCUGGCAACAGUUGGGGGUCCCAACCCAUCUGCCAGCACAAGACGCAUCCUUGUG